This 1063-nucleotide small RNA is filed under the name Drosophila pseudoobscura pseudoobscura. Its description in RNAcentral is "GA30938". Lineage: Eukaryota; Metazoa; Arthropoda; Insecta; Diptera; Drosophilidae. The record is from RNAcentral.
GGUCAGCGCCGCUUGGUUUUGCAUCGCGCCGCGGACGAAAUAAGUGAUAUUUUCGACCAUUAAUAAUUGUGUUUGUUUUAUUUUUGGUUGAAUCAUUAAUUAAUUAAUAGCUGUAAAUACGAAAGAGCAGCAGAAAAAGCAACAAACAACUGUGUCGCGGCCGUGGCUCAGUCAAACGAAGAGUAAAAAGACAACAACAAAAAAUUAGAGUAAAAGCAACGGUAUAACAAAACAAGGAUCGGAGCAGCAGCGGCAGUGAAAAAAAAGAGAAGCAAAGCAGCAGGCAGUCGCACGACGCAGACGACGAUCAGCAGAGAGGAGCGGCAGCGCAACAGGAACCACCUCUCUCUCUCUCUCUCUCACACUCUUGUGCGCUCUUUCUCCCGCUCCCCAGAUACGGAUACAGAUGCCCGAAGUUUGCUUCACAGACAGUGCUUUCCACCAAAGAUCGUACUACUCCAUUGGGGAUCCAUGGGAUAAGCAGUGCAAAAACAUAUUCUAGGGAAAGUAAAUAUGAUAAUAUCCAGCGCUACGAUGGGCCUCGUGGCGCCAAAGCGCCGUUUAUUUGCAACGCAUCUCAGACGCUAAAAGCCAAAGAGAUAGAAUAAUAAUAGUAGGAGCCGCAGUCGCAGCGGUGGGCCAGUGCCAGGGCCAGCACCAGCACCAGCACUCCCCCCCUUCCGAACGCCACCCGCCCCCACCCACAAAUGAGGAGGGGUGGGCAACGACGGGCCAACAACAGGUUGAGGAGCACAUACAUAGGCAAAAGCCCACAACAAAAUCAAAAGCAAAUGCCAGAGCAAAGGCAAAGGCAAAAGCAAAAGCAACAAAAACACGACAAAUAGAAAGAAGCAGACAAAAUAAAACAGAGAAAACCACCAAAACCGCAAAAACAACAAGCAGAGAAGCCACCGAAAGAGAGCGGCAGACCAACCGACCGACCGACCGACCGACCGACCGACAGGACCGACCGGGCAGCCGUGAGAGUAAAAGAGGGAGAGAGUAAUCCAAUCAAAAACCAAACACAAACGCAGCAGAGCAGCAGCAGCCGAGCGGCAGCGAC